Molecule: non-coding RNA, 298 nt
Organism: Cinara cedri
Lineage: Eukaryota; Metazoa; Arthropoda; Insecta; Hemiptera; Aphididae
Source: the annotation of a GenBank genome assembly
CGGGUUUCACGUAACGCUUAAGGCCAAAGAGGUCAACGAGCGAUGUACCGGAUUUGAUACAAGAAAUUAGAAACGCGUUCGAAGACCGUUUAAUUGAAGCACAUCCGGUAAAAGAAACUUUUUACGGAGCUAAUGGGACCUCCCAGUGGUUCGACUGCAGUUCAAACAGACGAACGAUUAACGUCAAAACUAACUCUGAUCCAAACAUCCAAAUAUCUGUUUUAGGUACUGCAAGAUACUCGUCGACGACGCAUCCAGUGAAUACUUCACUGACAUACCCGAAUUACUAGCGACUAUG